RNAcentral lists this unclassified non-coding RNA (249 nucleotides) under fungal sp. Its description in RNAcentral is "partial internal transcribed spacer region". The stretch from base 1 to 46 matches the Rfam family "Eukaryotic small subunit ribosomal RNA", at positions 1786 to 1831 of the family's 1831-position model. The record is from RNAcentral. Lineage: Eukaryota; Fungi.
AAGUCGUAACAAGGUCUCCGUUGGUGAACCAGCGGAGGGAUCAUUACUGAGUUAUCCAAAAACUCCCAACCCUAUGUGAACUUACCACUGUUGCCUCGGCGAGCUGCGCUACCCUGUAGCUACUUUUGUAGCGACCUGGGAGCGCGUUAUAGGCUCGCCAGAGGACCACUAAACUCUGUUUUAUUUUGUAUCUCUGAAUUUUACAACUGAAAUCAGUUAAAACUUUCAACAACGGAUCUCUUGGUUCUG